Molecule: ribosomal RNA, 492 nt
Filed under: uncultured bacterium
Lineage: Bacteria
Description: partial 16S ribosomal RNA
Rfam family: Bacterial small subunit ribosomal RNA
Source: RNAcentral
AGUGAACGCUGGCGGUAGGCCUAACACAUGCAAGUCGAACGGCAGCACAGUAAGAGCUUGCUCUUACGGGUGGCGAGUGGCGGACGGGUGAGGAAUACAUCGGAAUCUACUUUUUCGUGGGGGAUAACGUAGGGAAACUUACGCUAAUACCGCAUACGACCUACGGGUGAAAGCAGGGGAUCUUCGGACCUUGCGCGAUUGAAUGAGCCGAUGUCGGAUUAGCUAGUUGGCGGGGUAAAGGCCUACCAAGGCGACGAUCCGUAGCUGGUCUGAGAGGGUGAUCGGCCACACUGGAACUGAGACACGGUCCAGACUCCUACGGGAGGCAGCAGUAGGGAAUAUUCCGCAAUGGGCGAAAGCCUGACGGAGCAACGCCGCGUGAGUGAUGAAGGUCUUCGGAUCGUAAAACUCUGUUAUUAGGGAAGAACAUAUGUGUAAGUAACUGUGCACAUCUUGACGGUACCUAAUCAGAAAGCCACGGCUAACUACGUG